This 301-nucleotide ribosomal RNA is filed under the name uncultured bacterium. Its description in RNAcentral is "partial 16S ribosomal RNA". It matches the Rfam family "Bacterial small subunit ribosomal RNA", at positions 509 to 807 of the family's 1533-position model. The record is from RNAcentral.
CAGCCGCCGCGGUAAUACAGAGGGUGCGAGCGUUAAUCGGAUUUACUGGGCGUAAAGCGUGCGUAGGCGGCUUUUUAAGUCGGAUGUGAAAUCCCUGAGCUUAACUUAGGAAUUGCAUUCGAUACUGGGAAGCUAGAGUAUGGGAGAGGAUGGUAGAAUUCCAGGUGUAGCGGUGAAAUGCGUAGAGAUCUGGAGGAAUACCGAUGGCGAAGGCAGCCAUCUGGCCUAAUACUGACGCUGAGGUACGAAAGCAUGGGGAGCAAACAGGAUUAGAGACCCCCGUAGUCCCUGUCUCUUAUAC